This 228-nucleotide long non-coding RNA is filed under the name Vitis vinifera (wine grape). RNAcentral's name for it is "long non-coding RNA (VVIN_LNC006555)". The record is from RNAcentral. Lineage: Eukaryota; Viridiplantae; Streptophyta; Magnoliopsida; Vitales; Vitaceae.
UCUAAAGAGGCUAUGAGGAAAAUUGAUGUAGCUUAGGUUAGAAGUGAAAAAAUAAGGGAAUAUAAUAGCCAAGCAUAAUCCUUUUCAAGCUCCUAUGAGAUUGUGAAUAGGAACCUUUACCAAAUCAUGAGCAUUAUGAGGCUCUUUUAGACCAUAAGUGAGACCUCAAUACAUUCCUAUUGCCAGUCAUGCAAUACAAAAACAAAUGUUAUAUCCUUUCCCCUCUAU